RNAcentral lists this ribosomal RNA (464 nucleotides) under uncultured bacterium. Its description in RNAcentral is "partial 16S ribosomal RNA". It matches the Rfam family "Bacterial small subunit ribosomal RNA", at positions 28 to 507 of the family's 1533-position model. The record is from RNAcentral.
GACGAACGCUGGCGGCGUGCUUAACACAUGCAAGUCGAACGGAAAGGCCCAGCUUGCUGGGUGCUCGAGUGGCGAACGGGUGAGUAACACGUGGGUGAUCUGCCUCUAACUUCGGGAUAAGCUUGGGAAACUGGGUCUAAUACCGGAUAGGACAAUCGUUUAGUGUCGGUUGUGGAAAGUUUUUUCGGUCAGGGAUGAGCCCGCGGCCUAUCAGCUUGUUGGUGGGGUAAUGGCCCACCAAGGCGUCGACGGGUAGCCGGCCUGAGAGGGUGGACGGCCACAUUGGGACUGAGAUACGGCCCAGACUCCUACGGGAGGCAGCAGUGGGGAAUAUUGCACAAUGGGCGCAAGCCUGAUGCAGCGACGCCGCGUGGGGGAUGACGGCCUUCGGGUUGUAAACCUCUUUCGACAGGGACGAAGCUUUGGUGACGGUACCUGUAUAAGAAGCACCGGCUAACUACGUG